This 504-nucleotide ribosomal RNA is filed under the name uncultured bacterium. Its description in RNAcentral is "partial 16S ribosomal RNA". It matches the Rfam family "Bacterial small subunit ribosomal RNA", at positions 30 to 523 of the family's 1533-position model. The record is from RNAcentral.
AUUGAACGCUGGCGGCAGGCCUAACACAUGCAAGUCGAACGGUAGCACAGAGAGCUUGCUCUCGGGUGACGAGUGGCGGACGGGUGAGUAACGUCUGGGAAACUGCCCGAUGGAGGGGGAUAACUACUGGAAACGGUAGCUAAUACCGCAUAACGUCGCAAGACCAAAGUGGGGGACCUUCGGGCCUCACACCAUCGGAUGUGCCCAGAUGGGAUUAGCUAGUAGGUGGGGUAAUGGCUCACCUAGGCGACGAUCCCUAGCUGGUCUGAGAGGAUGACCAGCCGCACUGGAACUGAGACACGGUCCAGACUCCUACGGGAGGCAGCAGUGGGGAAUAUUGCACAAUGGGCGCAAGCCUGAUGCAGCCAUGCCGCGUGUAUGAAGAAGGCCUUCGGGUUGUAAAGUACUUUCAGCGGGGAGGAAGGCGGUGAAGUUAAUAGCUUCACCGAUUGACGUUACCCGCAGAAGAAGCACCGGCUAACUCCGUGCCAGCAGCCGCUGUAA